Molecule: ribosomal RNA, 412 nt
Filed under: bacterium enrichment culture clone ALO1_GLFRUDD03GZ6IF
Lineage: Bacteria
Description: bacterial SSU rRNA
Rfam family: Bacterial small subunit ribosomal RNA
Source: RNAcentral
GAGUUUGAUCUUGGCUCAGAUUGAACGCUGGCGGCAUGCCUUACACAUGCAAGUCGAACGGCAGCACAGGAGCUUGCUCCUGGUGGCGAGUGGCGAACGGGUGAGUAAUGCAUCGGAACGUAUCCUGGAGUGGGGGAUAACGUAGCGAAAGUUACGCUAAUACCGCAUAUUCUGUGAGCAGGAAAGCGGGGGACCUUCGGGCCUCGCGCUCUUGGAGCGGCCGAUGUCGGAUUAGCUAGUUGGUGAGGUAAAGGCUCACCAAGGCGACGAUCCGUAGCAGGUCUGAGAGGAUGACCUGCCACACUGGAACUGAGACACGGUCCAGACUCCUACGGGAGGCAGCAGGUGGGGUAAGUUUUGGACAAGUGGGGGGCAACCCUGAUCCAGCCAUGCCGCGUGAGUGAAGAAGGCC